GAUGUAGUCGAUCUCGGGGGUGCCGACGACGGUCUCGUAGUCUACCGAAAAGAAGUAACGGAGGGAGAACACAAAUAAAUAAUAGAGCAAACAAAGCAAUACAAAGCGUAACAUGGCAAUACGCGGUGCUAGGUGUGCCCCAACGCGGUAGUAGGUGAUACCGGCGAAGGGGGGAAACAUCCGGGAAAGUAUCCCCGGUGUUUCGCGUUUUCGGACAGGUGAACCGGAGGGGGAAAGUUGCAUGUUCGCUAUGCUAGGAAUGUAUGGCGGACGAACGAGCUGCGUAUUCGGAUUUUUCUCGUCGUUCUGAGCAACUUUCAUGUCCAAAGUUUUUCCAUCCGAGUUACGGUUUAUUUUAUAUUAAUUUUUUAAAGUUUUUUCUAAAAAUUCCUAGAUUUAUUCUUAAAAUCAAAUUAGAUCAGAAUAUACAUUUUAUACUCAACAGGGGCUAGCCACAGUCAAUGACAUGUGGGGCCAGGGGGCUGGGUUGACCCAGUUAAUUAGUCCAGUCCGUAGUUGACUAGUCAACUGUUGACUGGUCAAACCUGGGUAGUGGGGCCCAAUGUCAUUCUCACAGAUUUAGUAUUUCCUUUUAAAGAGAUAAUUAGAGGUGGGGUCUACCUGUCAUUGGCUAGCAAUUAAACUAACUGGAACUUAUCCCCUAGCUAAUUUGGACGGGCCGGCCACUGGUGGCUUGGCUGUACACGUACACGCACAUCACUCAUGCUCGGCCAUGGCCAUUAGCACAUCAUCUAGGAGUAGCAAAACUAGCAUCCAGGAGGAGCUAGAGCAGCGGCGGCCGGCUACGCAGCAAGCCGUAAACAGCAGCUGUAGUAAGUAGCGACAGUAGCAGGCAGCGGCUUGAGCAGCAGCAGUACGCAGAGUAGUGCGGCUGCCAGCAGCAGAGCAAAGCAGCGGCUAAGAGGAGCAGCAGCAGCGGCAAGUAGUAGCAGAAGACAGUGCAGCAAGAGCAGCAGUUAAGGCCGCGCCUUGGCGAGGCCAGGGAGCGACGGGCAAGCGCGACGACGGGCGUCUGCGAUGCGGCGCUCGCGGCCUUGCGGCAGCAGACGCCAGCAGCGCGCGGGCUGUGCAGCACGCGGGCGCGGCGGCCACGGCGUGCUGUGAGGAGCGGAGGUGCACGACCGCGGACAUGGCGGUGGGGCAGUAGUAUUCGCCGCGGUUUGAGGUCGAUGCAAGGCGGGAACAGAGGGGAAGCUCGCCAAGGGAGCUCACGGAGGCUCGUUGGUUGCCGGGAGCAGCAGAGAGCGCCGAAAUUCGCCGGAGAGGCGCCGACGGCCGAGGGGACGAAGCAGUCGAUCCCGGUGAUGUAGAGGCGCCCAGCUUGAACGGAUGGCCGUAGAUGACGUAGACGAACAUGACGGAGCUCCUGGAGGUGGUCGUGCAGCGCGGGGCAGUCGGAGACCGCGGUGACGACGAAGACGCGACGACGGCAACGCACGGGCGGCGGUUCGUGCGAAAGGGAGAG
This 1486-nucleotide long non-coding RNA is filed under the name Triticum aestivum (bread wheat). RNAcentral's name for it is "long non-coding RNA (TAES_LNC016200)". The record is from RNAcentral. Lineage: Eukaryota; Viridiplantae; Streptophyta; Magnoliopsida; Poales; Poaceae.